GCUCUUGUGGUGUAAUUGGAUAGCAUAUAGGUCUUCGAAACCUAUGGUUAGAGUUCGAGUCUCUGCAGGAGCGCAA
RNAcentral lists this transfer RNA (76 nucleotides) under Rickettsiales bacterium TMED131. RNAcentral's name for it is "tRNA-Arg". It matches the Rfam family "tRNA". From Rfam's summary of the family: Transfer RNA (tRNA) molecules are approximately 80 nucleotides in length. The record is from RNAcentral. RNAcentral also lists the same sequence under 1 other name. Lineage: Bacteria; Pseudomonadati; Pseudomonadota; Alphaproteobacteria; Rickettsiales.